CCUACGGGAGGCAGCAGUGAGGAAUAUUGGUCAAUGGACGAGAGUCUGAACCAGCCAAGUAGCGUGAAGGAUGACUGCCCUAUGGGUUGUAAACUUCUUUUAUAUGGGAAUAAAAUGUUCCACGUGUGGGAUUUUGUAUGUACCAUAUGAAUAAGGAUCGGCUAAAUCCGUGCCAGCAGCCGCGGUAAUACGGAGGAUCCGAGCGUUAUCCGGAUUUAUUGGGUUUAAAGGGAGCGUAGGUGGAUUGUUAAGUCAGUUGUGAAAGUUUGCGGCUAAACCGUAAAAUUGCAGUUGAAACUGGCAGUCGUGAGUACAGUAGAGGUGGGCGGAAUUCGUGGUGUAGCGGUGAAAUGCUUAGAUAUCACGAAGAACUCCGAUUGCGAAGGCAGCUCACUGGACUGCAACUGACACUGAGGCUCGAAAGUGUGGGUAUCAAACAGGAUUAGAUACCCCGGUAGUC
Molecule: ribosomal RNA, 460 nt
Filed under: uncultured bacterium
Lineage: Bacteria
Description: partial 16S ribosomal RNA
Rfam family: Bacterial small subunit ribosomal RNA
Source: RNAcentral